Long non-coding RNA from Oncorhynchus mykiss (rainbow trout), 2210 nucleotides. RefSeq lists it as uncharacterized. Lineage: Eukaryota; Metazoa; Chordata; Actinopteri; Salmoniformes; Salmonidae. The record is from RefSeq and is a predicted model, not a curated record.
AGAAACACUACAAUGACCUUUGUCGCUAGGAAAUCUCCCGCCCUCACAGGAGGAUCCUGAGCCGGGGUUGGGACCUGAUUAGAAUGAGGGUUUUACAGAAAAGCAGAUUGAUUUUGUUUGGUUAAUUUAUUUUUUGGGGUAGUUAGUAUGAUAUUUUAUUUUUACCCAAACGUUACAUUUUUGGGUUAUCAUUAUCCACCCGCAUUGUAGGUGGCAGAAUGCACAUUUAAUUGUUACGAACGCCAUUAUACCAUAGAAGAAGAUCACCACACAGUAAUCUCAAUUUCGCUAAACAAAAUAUAUAUUUUUUUUAAAUGUUUGUUUGUCAUCAUGUCCGUGUGGUGUUAUGUGGCUGGCUGUGCUAAUUAGAUUCUGCAAGUAGUUACGGUUAUCAAUAAUGAUGGGACCAUUAUCAGAUGGAUUUUCAGGCUGAACUGAUGGGUGAUGUAUUUCGACGACAGCUGAGAAGUGAUGCGAUACCAUCGAUAUACUUUCCUUCACAACAAAAUUGAAGAUUCUCAAUUAGAAGUAACCUAACGUCAGCUAGCCUAGUUGGACUAGCUGGGUGGUAUAGAAUCUUACACCAUGAUGCGCAUCCAACCCCCAGCUCAGCACAAGGUGAAGGAGUUGUGCAGUACCAGGAAAUAUUCUUCAAGAGGACCAAACAGUUGGUGGUUAAGAAGCCCUACACCACUUUCGGCAGAGCCUUAUCCAGCUGGCCAUUCACCGCAGACAGGACAAGCCCAUCGCCAUAGCACAAAGAGUCUCCGCUUCCCCAGUGCACCAUGCCAAACACAUUUGCCAGUGUACCGAAGCCAGAUAAAGGACUAUGGCUGCAUUUACACAGGCAGCCCAAUUCUGAUAUUUUUUCACUAAUGGGUCUUUUGAUCAAUCAGAUCAGCUCUGAAAAAGAUCUGUUGUGAAAAAAUAGCAGAAUUGGGCUGUAUGUGUAAACGCAGACAGUGUGAUUCAGCAUAAGAUCAUGUAGAACACACUGAAGGAUGGCUCAUAAUAAUGGCCAGGACGGAGCAAAUGGAAUGGUAUCAAACACAUUGAAACUGAUGUAUUUGAUAUCGUUCCACUCUAGCCAUCACCACGAGCCCGUCAUCCUCAAUUAAAGUGUCUCCAACCCUGUUUCUGGAGAACUACCCUCCUGUAGGUUUAUGCUCCUACCAUAGUUGUAACUAACCUAGUUCCUUUUUUUAAACCAGCCAGCUAAUUAUUAGACUCAGGUGUGCUAGGUUACUACAGUGCUACAGGAUGGUAGCUCUCCAAGAACAGGGUUGGAGAGCCCUGAUUAGAACCACCAUCAAAUAAAUAAGAUAUUUUCUAUUAGUCUUUUAAAUUUGUCUGCCCUUAUGAAUUCACAGAAGACAUUUAUAUUAAAACUGUACAGGGCUCUGUAGCAUCAAACAGAUGCUAGACAUUCAGAUAUCCUCUGUAGACUCUACAGAUGGGACUUAUUCACCAUAGUAACCUCCUUAACCAAGCCUCAGAGUGUCAGGGACUGACUGGGCCAACCCAACAGCAGGUCCCUCACAAUGAGGGGCGGGCUUCAGCUUGGCACACAAUUCCAAAACCACAUGAGUGGACUUGGGUUAUAUGGAGAUUAGCAUAAGUGCUAUGUACUGGUUGUGCAUCCCACCUAAACGUAUCUGUAAUUACUGUAUUUGGCUGUAGUUCUGCUCUUGUUGUUAGUGUAUUUUUUAAAUACUAUGCAUUUUUGGUGUCCUGUUGUGCAUAUAAAAUAUGCUAUAAAGCAAUGAUACCAAAGCUGCGCAAAUAUUUGGAACUCAUUGUACAAGAUGAGAUGUUAUAUUUUACAUAAUUUAUUUAAAAAUAUAUAUACGCAUAAUAUGUGCAGUAGAGUGGGAAAGCAUGGAUGAGAAUAAAGACUCAGUUGUGGUACCCCUUUGGGUGGGUCAUAGUGCAAAAACAUUUUAGGGACUAUGGCCACAAGCAACACAUACUCCCUCUGUUGGACUCCUAUGAUAAAGCACUUGCAUCACUCAGUUACUGUUGCUGAAAAAACAUUGUUUGAACAUCAUUGCAUUGUUCGUAAUAACGUUGAAAACGACUAAUUCUCUCUCAGUUGUAACUGAGUACCUGUAUAUUAACUAUAGACAGACCAAAUCAACAAAGUGGUAAUGAAUAGUAUAGUGAUCUGGAUGCACCUUUUUUAAGUAAACAGAUUUGGUGUAACAUGACAA